UACGGGGGGGGCAAGCGUUGUUCGGAAUUACUGGGCGUAAAGGGCUCGUAGGCGGCCAACUAAGUCGGAUGUGAAAUCCCCAGGCUUAACCUGGGAACUGCAUCCGAUACUGGAUGGCUUGAAUCCGGGAGAGGGAUGCAGAAUUCCAGGUGUAGCGGUGAAAUGCUUAGAUAUGACAUAGAACACCAAUUGCGAAGGCAGCUUACUUCACGAUCAUUGACACUGAGGCACGAAAGCGUGGGGAGCAAACAGG
This 253-nucleotide ribosomal RNA is filed under the name uncultured bacterium. RNAcentral describes it as "partial 16S ribosomal RNA". It matches the Rfam family "Bacterial small subunit ribosomal RNA", at positions 524 to 776 of the family's 1533-position model. The record is from RNAcentral.